RNAcentral lists this ribosomal RNA (227 nucleotides) under uncultured Streptococcus sp. Its description in RNAcentral is "partial 16S ribosomal RNA". It matches the Rfam family "Bacterial small subunit ribosomal RNA", at positions 1158 to 1382 of the family's 1533-position model. The record is from RNAcentral. Lineage: Bacteria; Bacillati; Bacillota; Bacilli; Lactobacillales; Streptococcaceae.
AAACCGGAACGGAAGGUGGGGAGUGACGUCAAAUACAUCAUGCCCCUUAUGACCUGGGCUACACACGUGCUACAAUGGUUGGUACAACGAGUUGCGAGUCGGUGACGGCGAGCUAAUCUCUUAAAGCCAAUCUCAGUUCGGAUUGUAGGCUGCAACUCGCCUACAUGAAGUCGGAAUCGCUAGUAAUCGCGGAUCAGCACGCCGCGGUGAAUACGUUCCCGGGCCUU